CCAUAGCUCAGGAACCUAUUAGCAGACACC
Molecule: non-coding RNA, 30 nt
Filed under: Cricetulus griseus (Chinese hamster)
Lineage: Eukaryota; Metazoa; Chordata; Mammalia; Rodentia; Cricetidae
Source: RNAcentral